UGCACACACAAGCACCACAACACAAAAGAAGGUUAGUGCAAAGAAUGUAACUGUGAAUAUCCGCAGACCCUUUAGAGGAAAAAAAAGAUACUAAUAAAAAAGAAUAUAACCGUAUUAAAUGUGGUAUUGAAGAUUGAUUCAAUAAAAGAUAUAUCAGGUUUUUACUAUGUACAGAUUUAAAUAACAUAAGAAAUUGGGACUCAGAAAUGGAAUAAAUUAAAAUUAUUUCCCUGAAAUGGGCAAGCCUGGACGUUUUAAUGGCUCAAUCUUGUCUUUUUAAUAAAAACAUAUGGCGACAAACCAUUUGUUCCGUUGUCCUCCACAUCUUUUCCACCAAAGUGCAUUAAUAGAGGGAGACAGCGCCCCCGCUGUGGUUACGGCCACAGGUGGAGCUGCACCCUCACACGCGGUGCCAACAGGACGCGUGAAUUGAUUAACUUUGAUCAUCGGUAUCAACCAAUCGGUCACUAUGUUGUGACCUGUAAAUCUUCGAACGGACAAGUGUUUGGGAAGUUAUACUAAAAACAAAUGUAGUUAAUAUCAGGGUUAAUUGACACCAGAGUAGCCGUAAGCCUGUUGCAAGCUAACGCUCCUGUGGAGCGAUGCUAACAGCUACAUAUAUUAGCGAAAACAACAAAAACAAACUAAAAGGUCAAAUCCGAGCAUCAACAACUGUAAAGACACUAUGUGACCUCGUCCCCAUCAUUGGAAGAAGGACCGGACGCGCUGCACUACACCCUGCGAAGAGAAGGAACGCCACCAAACACGGGGCCAUUUCUUAGGACUGAGUGCACCUUUUUGGCCGGAGAAUGUGUUUAAAUAACAGGAAGGAGGGGACACGUCAUCGCAAAGAAGGUGUGAACAGGAUUUGGUUACACGAGGGCACAAAAGGUGGACAGAAACCCCCUCCUCCCCCAAACAGGCUUUGAUUAUGGUCACAACAAAGGAUCAACAGAAUUAGAGUUUAAGUACAAUAAUGAUCAGCACUGCAACAACACAUGUUUUACAAAAGUAUCUAGUUUUAAUCCUUCCUCCUUUCCUCCUGCUUUUCCUAGUCUGAGUUUUUUUUAGUUUAUUUUUUUACCAGAACCAUUUUUCUCAAAUAGAAAUAUGGGACACAUUCUUUGAAAUAAAUAAACAGCGGCCACUAGAAGGUGCCCUUGUUCUAAAGACCAAUGCAUAGCGUUUAAAAGCCUUUAAAUGGAUAUUCUAGUCAAAGCAGUGAAUAGUUUGGUCAUUUUGUUACUUUGCAAAGUUGAAUCCUGAAGCCAUUAGGUUUAUUUCAAAAACAAUUUUCUACUUCAAAUUGUUAGUAAAAUGCUUUUUUUUUUAGCUGACAGCGGUGUCAGCUACGAUUUGGCUGAAGU
Molecule: long non-coding RNA, 1367 nt
Organism: Pungitius pungitius (ninespine stickleback)
Lineage: Eukaryota; Metazoa; Chordata; Actinopteri; Perciformes; Gasterosteidae
Exons: 3
Source: RefSeq, a predicted model, not a curated record